UAUUGGGCGUAAAGCGCGCGCAGGCGGUUCCUUAAGUCUGAUGUGAAAGCCCACGGCUCAACCGUGGAGGGUCAUUGGAAACUGGGGAACUUGAGUACAGAAGAGGAGAGCGGAAUUCCACGUGUAGCGGUGAAAUGCGUAGAUAUGUGGAGGAACACCAGUGGCGAAGGCGGCUCUCUGGUCUGUUACUGACGCUGAGGUGCGAAAGCGUGGGGAGCGAACAGGAUUAGAUACCCUGGUAGUCCACGCCGUAAACGAUGAGUGCUAGGUGUUAGGGGUUUCCACCCUUAGUGCUGCAGUUAACGCAAUAAGCACUCCGCCUGGGGAGUACGGCCGCAAGGCUGAAACUCAAAGGAAUUGACGGGGGCCCGCACAAGCGGUGGAGCAUGUGGUUUAAUUCGAAGCAACGCGAAGAACCUUACCAGGUCUUGACAUCUUUGGACCACCCUAGAGAUAGGGUCUUCCCUUCGGGGACCAAAUGACAGGUGGUGCAUGGUUGUCGUCAGCUCGUGUCGUGAGAUGUUGGGUUAAGUCCCGCAACGAGCGCAACCCUUAAUCUUAGUUGCCAGCAUUCAGUUGGGCACUCUAAGGUGACUGCCGGUGACAAACCGGAGGAAGGUGGGGAUGACGUCAAAUCAUCAUGCCCCUUAUGACCUGGGCAACACACGUGCUACAAUGGAUGGUACAAUGGGACGCGAAACCGCGAGGUGAAGCAAAUCCCAAAAAGCCAUUCUCAGUUCGGAUUGUAGGCUGCAACUCGCCUGCAUGAAGCCGGAAUCGCUAGUAAUCGUGGAUCAGCAUGCCACGGUGAAUACG
This 816-nucleotide ribosomal RNA is filed under the name uncultured bacterium. Its description in RNAcentral is "bacterial SSU rRNA". It matches the Rfam family "Bacterial small subunit ribosomal RNA", at positions 552 to 1370 of the family's 1533-position model. The record is from RNAcentral.